GAGGAAAGCCAAGAGUUUUUCUUUUGUUUGAACUACUUUGCAUUGGAAUGGAUCUGACUGUUCAGCCUGCCUCCCAGGUGAAAAGUCAGGACUCAGAGGUGGGACACAUUGCAAGUGAAUGAUGGAACAUCAACACCAGAUUGCCGAGG
Molecule: long non-coding RNA, 149 nt
Organism: Choloepus didactylus (southern two-toed sloth)
Lineage: Eukaryota; Metazoa; Chordata; Mammalia; Pilosa; Megalonychidae
Exons: 3
Source: RefSeq, a predicted model, not a curated record